AUUUUUUGUAAGGGAAAAUCAAGUCUGAAAUGUGAAAGUGCAUUGAAAUAUCAAACUUCAGGAGCCUCUUUUAACCUAAAACACACUACACUGUUCUCUGCAACAGGGGCAUCAAAUUAAGAUCCUACAUCUGUAAUGCCUACAGGUGCUCUGGCGGGUAUUGUUAUUGGUAGCUCAGGUCAGUUGGGAAUAGUAGAGAGAACAGGUGUGAGCGGUUUGCUAAAUGAGAGAACAGUAGCAGGUAGAGUGGAGAGAGGAUGGGCUCUGUUGCUACAGUAGCGGUUUCCUACGGUCACCUGAGAAGCUUUCUCUGGCCUAAUAAAUGGCUUAAAGAGGGUAUUACAGCAACACAAACACAAGCACAUAUUUUCUGUAUACAGACACAUGGUGAGAGCGCACACAUGCACACACCGGUACACACAUACACACACACACAAACGCGUCAUGUAUAGAUUAACAAAGAGCUAUAGAGACACACCUGUUGUCAUAUUGUAAUAUUUCACCUCUUGUCAAGGAGAUCAAUAACUGUGUUUAUGUUUUCCUCACUGCCAGGGUUGUGGCUCCCCCCUUGGGCAGAUAUGUGGGGUUGCAGAACAGAUUUCACAUGGCUGCCACUCCUUCUCCAAAGCUUGAGUCCUUCUACACCCAGCAAAAUCGACAACCAUCUCAGAGUGAGAUGGUCAGUCUAAUGGCACAAUGUGACAAAACCCAGAGACAAAUUGAGACCUGGUUCCGUCACUGCAGAAAUCAAGACAGGCCACACCAGGAGGUUCUGCGAGGCUUCAUAAGUCCUUUCCUUUAGCUUUAACUACUUGUGUAACCACUUAAAAAAAUAAAACAUAUUUAACCUUUGUUUAACCAGGCAAGUCAGUUAGAGAUAUGCAGAAAUCGCUCCACCAUUUCCUAGUUGCUGAAAUUAGAAUAUUUUGCCAAAUUUCAGUUUAUGUGGCUAAACAAGCAAGUAUAGUGUAGAGAAUCAUUUUACCAUCUAAACCGCUUUGAAAUGUAUUUUCCAUAACCAAACAUAUCGUAUUUUCAGCUGUUUGAAGCUGGUGUACAAAACUGAAAGUAAAAGACACAGAAAUGUUACUUAAGAAUGGGAAGCAUAGAAAUAGCACAUAUAGAACAGAUCUUCCACUUCUUAGACUUGCUUUAAAUGAGCAUAACAUAUCUAUAAUAUGUAUUUCUAUGUGAAAUUGAUUGAGUCGCACAAAAAGUUACAUAUUGCAGCUUUAAGAAUACAUUCUUAUUGAUUUACAAAGGCACCUUGGUCAUCGGGAAAAGUCCUGUGAAAUUCAAUAAUACUUAAUAAGUCAUUCCAUGUUCACAUGUUGCCAAUGCAGCUCUAGUUGUAAGACCUUAAAUUGUAACUCUAAAACCAACUCAUUUUGCAGUUGGAGGUUUUUCUUCUACCUCAUAGCGUUCCUAGCUGGACUCCGAACUUUGAUCAAUGUAAGUAUUAGUAUGAACCAGUAUUGACAUUUUGGGACUAGUUUGGGACAGCAUUGAACUGUAGGACUAUGGACGUAUUUUCCUUAUGAAUCAAUGCUAAAAUAACAAUGACUGAAUCGUCAGCUACUGGUCGAAAGUUAAGUUAUACUUUUGUAAGGAGGUUUGCUGUUUUUUAAGUCAUAGAGCUCUAUUCGAUCCGGAGCGCUGAAGAUCCGCUUAUAGCACGAUUGACAAUUAAAGGCAAUGUUCCCGUGGUUGCGGAGACUGCAUUCACGGCAAACGUUGCACAUGUCGGCUCAAUGGAAAAUUACCUUUACAUUUUAAUGCAAUGCUUUGGCGAUAGGGAUUGAAUCUAGCUAGCCCUUACUUAUUGCUCAUCUUUAGGUCACGUGAUUAAUUUGCAACUUGUUUAUUCCAUCUCCUUGCCCUACAGAAGUCCUGGUUUUAGGACCAGAGGGAAUGCUGGAUAGGAUAUCCACAACAAGUGAGCUCACAUGAUCUGUUUUCCCUUCAAUUUAACUUACAGAGCACAAAUAUGUACUUUUCUGUACUGUUUUUGUCCCUCUGGUGUAUAGUGAGGUCAUGGUAUAAUUUACUACAGUGUGGAAUUAUUCUCUAUUAGAUCAUACUGUAUCUCUGGCAAUCAAUAACCAGGCGUUGAUAUUUUGUGCAGAAUCAUGAUGGAACAAGACAUCACUGACCAGGAGAAAACUCAUGGCCCUACCUAAGUAUGGGAAAGGGAAAUCGGAGCCGUUGUUGUUGAAGUAGUACAGUGUGGUUGAGUCUGGUUGGGAAUUCCCACUCAUUCAUUUCCACAUUAAUUCAGAGGUGGAUAAAGACAUUCCACUCAAAAGACUUUGCUCUCAUAGCUAUGAAUUGUCAGCAAGAAAAGGCACACUUUUGCUGUAGGAUCCCAAGUGUGCUUAUAAACCUACUACACUCUACAUGCAAAAGUAUGUGGACACCCCUUCAAAUUAGUGGACUCGACUAUUUCAGCCACACCCGUUGCUGACAGGUGUAUAAAAUCGAGCUCACAGCCAUGCAAUCGCCGUAGACAAACAUUGGCAGUAGAAUGGCCUGUACUGAAGAGCUCAGUGACUUUCAACGUGGCACCAUCAUAGGAUGCCACCUGUCCAACAAGUCAGUUUGUCAUAUUUCUACCCUGCUAGAGAUGCCCCGGUCAACUGUAAGUGCUGUUAUUGUGAAAUGAAAAUGUCUAGGAGUAACAACGGCUCAACUGCGAAGUAGUAGGCCACACAAGCUCACAAAAAGGGACCGACGGGUGCUGAAGCACGUAGCGCAUAAAAAUCGUCUGUCUUCGGUUGCAACACUCACUAGCUGCCCCAACGCAUAGUGCCAACUGUAGUUUGGUGGAGGGGGAUAAUGGUCUGGGGCUGGUUGCAUGGUUCGGACUAGGCCCCUUACUUCCAGUGAAGGGAUAUCUUAACGCUAAAAUCAAAUCUAAUUUUAUUUGUCACAUGCGCCGAAUACAACAGGUGUAGUAGACAUUACAGUGAUAUGCUUACUUACAAGCCCUUAACCAACAAUGGAGUUUUAAGAAAAACGUUUUUUUAAAAGUAAGAGAUAAUAAUAACAAAUAAUUAUAGACCAGCAGUAGAUACAGUGCCUUGCGAAAGUAUUCGGCCCCCUUGAACUUUGCGACCUUUUGCCACAUUUCAGGCUUCGAACAUAAAGAUAUAAAACUGUAUUUUUUUGUGAAGAAUCAACAACAAGUGGGACACAAUCAUGAAGUGGAACGACAUUUAUUGGAUAUUUAAAACUUUUUUAACAAAUCAAAAACUGAAAAAUUGGGCGUGCAA
This 3272-nucleotide long non-coding RNA is filed under the name Oncorhynchus mykiss (rainbow trout). RNAcentral's name for it is "lncRNA (ENSOMYG00000057466.1)". Lineage: Eukaryota; Metazoa; Chordata; Actinopteri; Salmoniformes; Salmonidae. The record is from RNAcentral.